GAUGAACGCUGACAGAAUGCUUAACACAUGCAGGUCCACUUGAACUUCGGUUUGGGUGGCGGACGGGUGAGUAACGCGUAAAGAACUUGCCUCACAGUUAGGGACAACAUUUGGAAACGAAUGCUAAUACCUGAUAUUAUGAUUUUAGGGCAUCCUAGAAUUAUGAAAGCUAUAUGCGCUGUGAGAGAGCUUUGCGUCCCAUUAGCUAGUUGGAGAGGUAACGGCUCACCAAGGCGAUGAUGGGUAGCCGGCCUGAGAGGGUGAACGGCCACAAGGGGACUGAGACACGGCCCUUACUCCUACGGGAGGCAGCAGUGGGGAAUAUUGGACAAUGGACCAAGAGUCUGAUCCAGCAAUUCUGUGUGCACGAUGAAGUUUUUCGGAAUGUAAAGUGCUUUCAGUUGGGAAGAAAAAAAUGACGAUACCAACAGAAGAAGUGACGGCUAAAUACGUG
Molecule: ribosomal RNA, 454 nt
Filed under: uncultured bacterium
Lineage: Bacteria
Description: partial 16S ribosomal RNA
Rfam family: Bacterial small subunit ribosomal RNA
Source: RNAcentral